This 87-nucleotide transfer RNA is filed under the name Gracilaria vermiculophylla. RNAcentral's name for it is "Agarophyton vermiculophyllum tRNA-Ser". It matches the Rfam family "tRNA". Rfam says of the family: Transfer RNA (tRNA) molecules are approximately 80 nucleotides in length. The record is from RNAcentral. Lineage: Eukaryota; Rhodophyta; Florideophyceae; Gracilariales; Gracilariaceae.
GAGAAGAUGGUUGAGUGGUCUAAAACAACGGUUUGCUAAAUCGUCAUGCUUAAAAAAGUAUCAUGGGUUCGAAUCCCAUUCUUCUCA